AAAUGUGAAGCGAUUAUUGCAUUUAGUUUCGACCUAAAAUUAUGGUGAUUUCACCCCAUUUAUU
RNAcentral lists this transfer RNA (64 nucleotides) under Pedetontus silvestrii. RNAcentral describes it as "tRNA-Arg". Lineage: Eukaryota; Metazoa; Arthropoda; Insecta; Archaeognatha; Machilidae. The record is from RNAcentral.